GCUCCUGUGGUGUAAUCCGGUUUAGCAUUUUGGCCUUUCAAGCCGAAGAUAUGGGUUCAAAUCCCAGCGGGAGCA
Molecule: transfer RNA, 75 nt
Filed under: Candidatus Huberarchaeum julieae
Lineage: Archaea; Nanobdellati; Candidatus Huberarchaeota; Candidatus Huberarchaeia; Candidatus Huberarchaeales; Candidatus Huberarchaeaceae
Description: Euryarchaeota archaeon HGW-Euryarchaeota-1 tRNA-Glu
Rfam family: tRNA
About the family: Transfer RNA (tRNA) molecules are approximately 80 nucleotides in length. Their secondary structure includes four short double-helical elements and three loops (D, anti-codon, and T loops).
Source: RNAcentral